This 449-nucleotide ribosomal RNA is filed under the name uncultured bacterium. RNAcentral's name for it is "bacterial SSU rRNA". It matches the Rfam family "Bacterial small subunit ribosomal RNA", at positions 28 to 491 of the family's 1533-position model. The record is from RNAcentral.
GAUGAACGCUGGCGGCGUGCUUAACACAUGCAAGUCGAACGUGAUCCAUUAGCAAUAGUGGUGAAAGUGGCGAACGGGUGAGUAACACGUAGAUAACCUACCCUGAAGCGGGGGAUAACGAUUGGAAACGGUCGCUAAUACCGCAUGAGCCUAUUGAAGCGGGAGUGAGAUAGGGAAAUUACAGGUGCUUUAGGCGGGGUCUGCGUCCGAUUAGCUAGUUGGUGAGGUAACGGCUCACCAAGGCGACGAUCGGUAGCUGGUCUGAGAGGACGAUCAGCCACACGGGGAACUGAGACACGGUCCCGACUCCUACGGGGGGCGAGCAGUGAGGAAUAUUGGGCAAUGGGCGGAAGCCUGACCCAGCAACGCCGCGUGGAGGAUGAAGGCCUUCGGGUCGUAAACUACCUUUGUACGGGGAAGGAAGGAAGGACGGUACCCGUCGAAUAAGU